Molecule: long non-coding RNA, 2355 nt
Organism: Oncorhynchus tshawytscha (Chinook salmon)
Lineage: Eukaryota; Metazoa; Chordata; Actinopteri; Salmoniformes; Salmonidae
Source: Ensembl
GCUGGUUCUAAUGUUAGAGAACUGUCACUGCUGUUCAGACUGUUCAAGAUGGAUAUAAGAAGAGCAAUCAUAAAACACAAUCUACAGGGAACGAGUUACUUAAACUGGACCUGCAUGGCCAUACAGUACAUGACAGGUUUUUAGCAAUUGUUUAAGUUUGGAAAUUAACCUGAAGAAAUAUUGAUAAAUCAAUGGAUUGAUCAGUUUGACUCUCUCUCAUAUCAUCCAUCGCAUUGAAGCUUAACCAUAUCAAUUGAACAGAUAAUAAUUUGCCACAAUUGACAAAAAGUAGAGGCAAGCCAUUUGUGAAGCACUCGAAAGGCUAAAGUUGACAUUGGUAAAAUUAAAUGUAAUUCAAUUGAGUAAUCCCUAAUUGUUAUUAGUGUGUAAAUAUAUAACUUCUUGUAAUGUAGACAGGAAGCUGAAAGAAACAGGCUUAGACUGAGGCCUUCUUGAGUCUCUCCUUCUUGUGAGGAUAUUUUUAGGAUUGCCUUCUUCAAGCACCUGCCUUGGUCUGUAAAGUUCAACUAAGUCACUAUGCCAAGUGUUCGGGCCAAACCCUAUGAGAUAAGCCUCUAAAAUAAUCCAAGUCUUUCGUAUGCUGUUCACUUUGAGUUUGGGCUGUUUUUAUUAUCAGAGCAACUGACAUAUGUAGGUUGAUUGCCAUUCAUGGGUGUAUUGUGUGCGCUGUGGUUGCAGUCAGAUAUUUACAUGGAGGGAGAGAGCAUGAAUUUGCACAUCCCAUAUAAUGUGGUAAUGAGUCAAAAUCCACUUAGCCUAUUGUUUUCUGGCACAUUCAUUUAUUUUCUUUCGCGUGCAGGGUCCGACAUUAAAGAUGGUACACGGGGCGAGUAAAAACAUGUGUCGGGCCAGUGGAUCUCGUCUCUCACUGGCCCUUAACUUUUCAGCGCAUUUUUGCAUUCCAGUUCAACUUUUGCCUGCUCUGUCACAGUCUACCAUAGAGCUCCACAGUGAACGCAUCAUAAUACUCAAAACCUAGCGGUCAAACACAGAAAUGGUUCCAAUUGUUUUUUUCACCGUUCAUUUUUCACAUGGGGGAAUUUAGAACCACUUCAAACAAGUUCCUGGUUUCCAGUUUUUCCUGGUUUUGACCUUUCUGCCUGUCCUGAAUUUGAGCCUGCCUGCCAUUCUGUACCUUGCCACACCACACGGACUAUUGACCCCUGCCUGCUCUGAUCCUGAGACUGCCUACCGUUCUGGACCUUUUGCACCCUAUCUGGAUUACUGACUUCUGCCUGCCCUUGACCUGUCAUUUUGCCUGCCCCUGUACUAGUAAUAAACUUUUGUUACUUCGACACUGUCUGCAUCUAGGUCUUACCUGAAACGUGAUAGUUUCUACCGACAAUUAAGAUGUACAAACUAUGGCAUAAGGGGACGACGAGCGGUUAAGAGGAUAUCCGUAAUUUCAAUUAAGACAUUAUUGAGCGAACUCAGAUGGACGUGGUCAAUAUAGCUAUUUGUUCAGCACUUUUGUAAUGUACAGCGACAGAAUUCAGAACAUGGGCCAUUCUUUCAGUAUUCCUCCUGUACACCAAGUCAGAACCAUAGGAUAAAUAAAGGGGGCAUAUAAGCAGACAAUGAAAGCUCUUACAAUAUUCGAGGACUGUAUGUCUCUAAAACUGGCUAUAGGCCACAUGUGCACCACCAAGUCAGAACAGUAGACUAAAUUAUGAGGGGGAAAGGGACCAAAUUAUUAGGGUGAGGCACAUGGGCUACUAACAGCUUACUACACAACAUACACUCAGUAUUACUUUCUUAGUUUCAGUCAACAUAUCUAGUUUCCGACUUGGAAUUCCGUGUUGGAUGACCGUUCAAAAUGUAUUUUUCUAGUGGGAGCUCAUUUCUUUCCGGAGUUCCCAGUUGUCUUGAACUCACUGGCGUCUGAGAUUUCCCAGUUUCCAGUUUCCAGUUGUUUUGAAUGUGGCAGAAGUCAGGCUGGAUUGACAGAAUGGCCAAUGUUGAAUAUUUAUCCUUUCCAGUUUUGUAAAGAUACCCUUAAACCCAGACUUGGAUCACACAUCCACUCCACUGAAUACCAGGCUAGUUAUUUAUUUGCAAUGCUUGCAGCUAGCCACUGAUUCCUUCCAAACCACUCAUUGAUGAAUUUGUGAUUUCCAACUUGUUGGUGUAAUGUUUAUGUCCAAUGGCCGAUGAGCACCGAUACGUUUUAUUUAUAAUUUCUCUUAUUUUUUUAUCUUCAUAUGACAAGGAUUGAAAAAGAUUUGCCAGUAGAUUGUCGACUUGAUUCAUGAUGAUGACUGCUAGUUUGCUAGCUAAGAUUUUGAAAGUAUGAUGUUGACAUGAUCAGUCCAAUAAAAGCAACGGUAGAUAAAA